CAGAAAGGUGGGGCUGCACAGACCUGCCUGGAGGAUGCCCGUUCUGGGACUUGUUUUGCUGCAGCUCCCCAGCCGCAUGUGAAGGAGGACUGGAAGUACGUGGCCAUGGUCAUCGACCGCAUCUUCCUCUGGAUGUUCAUCGUUGUCUGCCUGCUGGGAACCGUGGGCCUGUUCCUGCCACCCUGGCUGGCCGGCAUGAUCUAAGGAUGGAGCUGGUGUGGCCUGGGCAACUACAGGAUGCGGCAGGGUUGGGUUGCUUGUCCCCGCCCCCCAGCUCCACGGGGCCGUGCCACUGGCCAUUUGCCCACCAUCUUCCAAGUACCUGCUGUGAGCUAGCCUUGGAAAGAGACACUACCUCUGAGGGAGCUGGAGUUUGGGUGCUGGUUCUGGUCCUGCAGCGGCCAGGGGAGGGGCGGCUGGCUGGCAGGGCUGGCACGUGCUUGCUUCAUCCACAGGGCAGUGUCGUGGCUAAGCCCCAUCAAAGUUUCUCCAGAGCAGACCACUUGCUCUCCUGCCUGCAGACAGCACAUGCUCGCCUGAGCCUUGCAGAUGCCCGGUGAUUGCCCUGCCACAGGCAUGAAGCUUUGUCCCCUUUCUGCCCCUUUUCCUUGUUUCCCUGGGGUCCAGCAGCUGGAGCACCCCACCCAAGCCCCCAGAGAGAGCAGACCUCCAGUCUCCCCAGGCAGAGGCCGAGGUGGGUCUGCUUUGCUCAUCAGGCUGUUAGUUGUUGGAGCCUGGAGCAGGCGCCAUGUGGACAGCCCUGCUCAGAGGGCGCAGGUGCAGGCAGCCCCGGGGGGUCCAGGGCCCUGGGGCUCUGUGGUGAGCACCUCCCAGAGGCCUAGUGACCCCAGACCCCCAAAGGCACUGGUGUUUGGGUCCAGGCCCUCUGGGCUCUCUCUCUGAAACCUCCGCUGUUCAGAGCCCAGGAGCCCCUUGGGGUCUGGCAAGCGGCAGGCAGGAUUUCCUGUCGUUGUCACUGUCACUAUGGUUAGGCCAUGGUCCCCUUGGUGCAACCUGGGACCUUGGGUGGAGGGGCAGAAGGAGCCCGAGCUGCUGUCCGGGUUGGGGACCCCUGGGGCUUCUAGACAGGUCAGGGGCUGACUUGCCCUCCAGGGGCCUCAGACCAAGGAGGGGCCUUACCACCCACCUGGCUUGUCCAGAGUCAUGAGGGCUGAAGUGGUGGCCCCACAAGACAGCACCAGGCGGCCCUGGAGUGCUUUGUGAGAUAUGGGGUUAGCACAUGCUGCUCCUGCCUCUCAGGUCGCACGUGCCCGGGGUCCAGGGUGGGAGGAGUCUUCCUGUGCAGUGGCCCCAGCCCCUGGCCCCCCUGCUGACCCCAACUAGCCAGGGAGACCCUGCUCCCUCGGCCAUCUCAUCCCUGCCUGGAGCUGAGGUACUUGGGAGAACUGAGGGAGUAACUUCGUCAGUCUGGGGCUGAUGCACACCAAGCUCUGGUCAGUGCAGCAGCCGCCACCAAAGGUUGCUGGUCCCAGCUGGCCAGUGAUGCUGGGAUGGGGGAGCCACCGAGGGCUAAUGUCACCCAUACCCUCCCACCUCUGAACACCAGGCUGCUGGCCACCCACAGGGUCCCUGUGGAGAUGGGGUCCUGAGUCUGAGGCCCUGGGAGGUUCUUGUGCCCACAGUGGGAGGCAGAGGCCUAAGUGCUCCAUCCCGGGCAUCCCAGGCCUCUGUCUUCAGGGCACUGAGGGCCCCUCCUGCUGAGCAGGGUCUGCACUGGCGCCAGCCACUCCACCCUGCCCUCAGCAGAGUCCUCAGGUGGGUAAGUUCACGCAACUGGGGUUGGGGGGCAGGCCUUGGAGGAGGAUGGAUGAGGCAGAUUUCAAAUGUGAACUCCAAGAUCCAAGUUGCAUAAGCAGAUCCAGCUGCCAGAUGUGUGGGCAGCUGUGGCGCCCUGGACAGUGCAGCUGCAGAUGUUCUUUUCUGGGUCAGGAGACGUGAGGAGCCAGGACACUCCUGUCAGGCAGCCCUCCUGCUGCCGGGACUCCAGGAAAGGAAAUAAAGCACCUGUGUCCCCCACACGCAGCUUCCCAUAUUUGCCUGCAGCGUUGAUUCGGAAUUGAGGUAAAGUUUACUUAUGGCCAAAUGCGUGAUGUGAGCCUUUCAGGCCAGUGAGGUUUAAGAAAGAGGACAGCACUGCCCUCGGCCUUCCAGUGCAUGGGCGCCACGAGCAGUGCUCCCCACUCUGUCCCUCUGCUCCUCUUGGGGCACAGCAGCCCUGACGUGACCCCGAACCUGCAGCACUGGGCACUGUGCACUGUGGACCACAGGAUGACGGCACUGUGGAAACUGGGGUGUGGCUUUCCUCACUCAGUCUGAGGACAUUGACGUUCUUCUGUGUUGUGUGCAUCUGUAGUUCAUGGCCGUGUUGUGUUUUGGUUCUUAGUUGCCGAGCAGUGUUCUGUCUGAAUAAACUGGUCACAGCGUGUUUAUCCACAGGCUUUGCUUCCAGUCACGGUCGUGGUCGAUUAAGGCACUGCAUGUGUGUCUGUCUGUGUGCACGCUGCCAUUUCUCUUGUGUCUCAUCACAUCUCUGUUUUCUGUACGUUUGAAUGUUUUGACAUCUCGGGGGCUUUCAGGCCUGUGAAUGCCCCUCUCCUCCCUGAGCUAGCUGAUCCCCAGGGGGUACAGGCCUGCCUGGAGCCACGGCCGCAGGCAGGCUCACCAAGGGCUGUGCCUCCACC
This 2702-nucleotide long non-coding RNA is filed under the name Heterocephalus glaber (naked mole-rat). Its description in RNAcentral is "lncRNA (ENSHGLG00000041811.1)". The record is from RNAcentral. Lineage: Eukaryota; Metazoa; Chordata; Mammalia; Rodentia; Bathyergidae.